This 39-nucleotide ribosomal RNA is filed under the name Pleurotus nebrodensis. RNAcentral's name for it is "partial 18S ribosomal RNA". Lineage: Eukaryota; Fungi; Basidiomycota; Agaricomycetes; Agaricales; Pleurotaceae. The record is from RNAcentral.
AUUCAUUAUGUCCUUUCCAUAGGGGAACUACGGAAGGAU